RNAcentral lists this ribosomal RNA (325 nucleotides) under Bacillus toyonensis. RNAcentral describes it as "bacterial LSU rRNA". It matches the Rfam family "Bacterial large subunit ribosomal RNA", at positions 1344 to 1774 of the family's 2925-position model. The record is from RNAcentral. Lineage: Bacteria; Bacillati; Bacillota; Bacilli; Caryophanales; Bacillaceae.
ACCAAGGGUUCCUGCUUAAAGUUAAUCUGAGCAGGGUUAGCCGGCCCCUAAGACGAGGCGGACACGCGUAGUCGAUGGGAACCACGUUAAUAUUCGUGGGCUUGGUGGUAGUGACGGAUUGCUUAACUUGUUCACACUUAUUGGAUUGUGUGGGCGGGGACGCGGUUCCAGGAAAUAGCUCCACCGUACAGACCGUACCCGAAACCGACACAGGUGGUCAGGUAGAGUAUACCAAGGCGCUUGAGAGAACUAUGUUGAAGGAACUCGGCAAAUUGCACGCGUAACUUCGGAAGAAGCGUGACCCUUAUAUGCGCAAGCAUGUGAG